RNAcentral lists this transfer RNA (77 nucleotides) under Fusobacterium hominis. Its description in RNAcentral is "Fusobacterium sp. NSJ-57 tRNA-Arg". It matches the Rfam family "tRNA". From Rfam's summary of the family: Transfer RNA (tRNA) molecules are approximately 80 nucleotides in length. Their secondary structure includes four short double-helical elements and three loops (D, anti-codon, and T loops). Lineage: Bacteria; Fusobacteriati; Fusobacteriota; Fusobacteriia; Fusobacteriales; Fusobacteriaceae. RNAcentral also lists the same sequence under 17 other names. The record is from RNAcentral.
GAUCCCGUAGCUCAAUUGGAUAGAGCAAUUCCCUCCUAAGGAAUAGGCUGUGUGUUCAAACCACAUCGGGAUCGCCA